AGCUCCAAUAGCGUAUAUUAAAGUUGUUGCAGUUAAAAAGCUCGUAGUUGGAUUUCUGGUGGGAUCGUCCGGUCCGCUCCGCAAGGGGUGUGCACUAGCGACGCGUCCGGCCACUUUUGCGCCAAACGUUUCUGUCAUUAAGUUGUCGGGGACGGGAGGCGCAUCGUUUACUGUGAAAAAAUUAGAGUGUUUAAAGCAGGCAAUCGCUGUGAAUACAUUAGCAUGGAAUAAUAAGAUAGGACUUUGGUGCUAUUUUGUUGGUUUGCACACCAAGGUAAUGAUUAACAGGGACAGUUGGGGGUAUUCGUAUUUAGAUGUCAGAGGUGAAAUUCUUGGAUUUUCGAAAGACGAACUUCUGCGAAAGCAUUUACCAAGGAUGUUUUCA
This 385-nucleotide ribosomal RNA is filed under the name uncultured eukaryote. RNAcentral describes it as "SSU rRNA". It matches the Rfam family "Eukaryotic small subunit ribosomal RNA", at positions 587 to 972 of the family's 1831-position model. The record is from RNAcentral.